UUACGGUCAUACCACGUUGAAAUACCGGUUCUCGAACGAUCACCGAAGUUAAGCAACGUCGAACCUGGUCUGUACCAAAAAGGGAGACCGCUUGGUAAUAUCAGGUGCUGCAA
Non-coding RNA from Acanthosepion pharaonis, 113 nucleotides. The record is from the annotation of a GenBank genome assembly. Lineage: Eukaryota; Metazoa; Mollusca; Cephalopoda; Sepiida; Sepiidae.